This 440-nucleotide ribosomal RNA is filed under the name uncultured bacterium. RNAcentral's name for it is "partial 16S ribosomal RNA". It matches the Rfam family "Bacterial small subunit ribosomal RNA", at positions 338 to 795 of the family's 1533-position model. The record is from RNAcentral.
CCUACGGGAGGCAGCAGUGGGGAAUAUUGCACAAUGGGGGAAACCCUGAUGCAGCGACGCCGCGUGAGUGAAGAAGUAUUUCGGUACGUAAAGCUCUAUCAGCAGGGAAGAAAAUGACGGUACCUGACUAAGAAGCCCCGGAUAACUACGUGCCAGCAGCCGCUGUAAUACGUAGGGGGCAAGCGUUAUCCGGUUUUACUGGGUGGAAAGGGAUCGUAGAUGGCAGCGCAAGUCUGGAGUGAAAUCCCUGGGCUUAACCAUGGAACUGCUUUGGAAACUGGUCAGCUGGAGUGAAGUAGAGGUAAGCGGAAUUCCUAGUGUAGCGGUGAAAUGCGUAGAUAUAAGGAGGAACACCAGUGGCGAAGGCAGCUUACUGGACUGUAACUGACGUUGAGGCUCGAAAGCGUGGGGAGCAAACAGGAUUAGAUACCCGGGUAGUC